UCAAAAACAUAGCCUUUAGCCCCACAAGUAUUAAAGGUCCCGCCUGCCCAGUGACUCUUUAAACGGCCGCGGUAUCCUAACCGUGCAAAGGUAGCAUAAUCACUUGUCCCUUAAAUAGGGACUGGAAUGAACGGCUAAAUGAGGAUUAAACUGUCUCUUGCGAGCCGGUCAAUGAAUUUGAUUUUCCAGUUCAAAAGCUGGAAUAAACACAUAAGACGAGAAGACCCUGUGGAGCUUCAAAACCUAGUUCACCAAAUAAUGCUUCCUUCGGUUUUUAGUUGGGGCGACUUCGGAGCACAAAAAAACCUCCAAAACAUGUAAACCCAUUAUAUUAAGAUCAACAAACCACAAAACCACAAGAUCCAGCAACAGCCCUUAAUGUUGUCUGACCAAUGAACCAAGUUACCCCAGGGAUAACAGCGCCAUCCCCUUCUAGAGUCCCUAUCGACAAGGGGGUUUACGACCUCGAUGUUGGAUCAGGACACCCCAAUGGUGCAGCCGCCACUAAAGGUUCGUUUGUUCAACGAUUAAUAGUCCUA
RNAcentral lists this ribosomal RNA (539 nucleotides) under Darevskia parvula. RNAcentral describes it as "partial 16S ribosomal RNA". It matches the Rfam family "Bacterial large subunit ribosomal RNA", at positions 1807 to 2598 of the family's 2925-position model. Lineage: Eukaryota; Metazoa; Chordata; Lepidosauria; Squamata; Lacertidae. The record is from RNAcentral.